This 28-nucleotide small RNA is filed under the name Bombyx mori (domestic silkworm). RNAcentral's name for it is "ovarian small RNA-23933". Lineage: Eukaryota; Metazoa; Arthropoda; Insecta; Lepidoptera; Bombycidae. The record is from RNAcentral.
UAUGCCAGGUAGAAUCUUGUAGGUUUGC